UUUCCGUAGGUGAACUGCGGAAGGAUCAUUAAUAAAUGUCUACGUUUUUUAAGUAGACGCUUAAUAAUCCUACCUUUGUGAAUUUGUUGUUUGAAAUAAUUUUUUUUAAAAUUAUUGAUUGUCUUUCCUGUUGAAUUGGUUGUCUUAAUGGCAAAUGAUCGCAGGGGAGUGUCAGUAAUUUUAAAAGACCUUUUUAAAAUUAAACUUUUUGUAUUCAUUUGUCUAAAAAUUAUUUUAUAAUAUAAAACAACUUUGACAAUGGAUCUCUUGGUUCUCGCAACGAUGAAGAACGCAGCAAAAUGCGAUAAGUAGUGUGAAUUGCAGAAUACGUGAAUCAUCGAAUCUUCGAACGCAUAUUGCACUUUUUAGUUUACUAAAAAAGUAUGUCUGUUGAGUAUCAGUAAAUAUUCUCAUAAAACUUUUGUUUUUAUGGUUAUGAGUGUUUACAACGAUACAAGUGUUUCACUUUAAAUUUUUUUAAAAUUUGAAUUUUCUAAUUUUAAAAUAAAUUGGAUAAAUUUCCCGUAAAAAGAAUAACCUAAACAAUUUUAAUUUUUGAUUAGAAUUCUUCAAUUAUAAAGGAAAUUUAACUAAAUAACUUGAUCUCAAUCAGAUAAGAGUACCGCUGAACUAAGCAUAUCAAUAAGCGGAGGAAAAGAAACUAACAAGGAUUCCUUAGUAACGGCGAGUGAGCGGGAAGAGCUCAAAUUUGAAAUCUUCAAGGUUUUACCUUGACGAAUUGUAGUUUAAAGAAGUGUUUUUGUUGAAGUUUUGGUAAAAGUUCUUUGGAAUAGGAAUCAUAGAGGUGAGAAUCCGUAUUUGACCAUUAUUUCAGCUGUGUGAUACACUUUCAAAGAGUCGGAUUGUUUGGGAAUGCAGUCCAAAUGGUGGUAAUUUCGUCUAAAGCUAAAUAUUGGCGAGAGACCGAUAGCGAACAAGUACCGUGAGGAAGAUGAAAAGAACUUUGAAAGAGAGUUAAACAGUACGUGAAAUUGUCAAAAGGAAGCGUUGACACCAGUGUUGUUUCUCGAAAAUCAAUUAAAAAAGUUGGAUUUUGUUGUAUUGACCUUAACAGCUUGCUUCACUCUUUCUUGCUUUUUUUAAUGCACUUUUCGUUUAACAAGUCAACAUCAGUUUCUUUGUUGUAAAAGGUCAUUGGAAGUGGCUUCUCUUCGAGAAAGUGUUAUAGCCUUUGAUCUCUGCAAUCGGAGAGACUGAGUCUGCAGCGUAGAUCCUUCGGGUUAGAUACAUUUGUGCUAAGCUACAGCUUUUCAUAGACAACUUGUGACUAUGUUUAGUCUUGUAACUUACCGCUUAUGCUAUUUACCUACGCUUAGGAUGU
This 1342-nucleotide unclassified non-coding RNA is filed under the name uncultured Neocallimastigales. RNAcentral's name for it is "partial contains small subunit ribosomal RNA, internal transcribed spacer 1, 5.8S ribosomal RNA, internal transcribed spacer 2, and large subunit ribosomal RNA". The stretch from base 601 to 1342 matches the Rfam family "Eukaryotic large subunit ribosomal RNA", at positions 1 to 628 of the family's 3401-position model. Lineage: Eukaryota; Fungi; Neocallimastigomycota; Neocallimastigomycetes; Neocallimastigales. The record is from RNAcentral.